UUGAUAGAAACCAAAACUUAGAGGUGUAUCACUGUUAAUGGUAAAAUUGAAUUAUUUUAUUCCUAUCAAG
Molecule: transfer RNA, 70 nt
Filed under: Pachygrapsus crassipes
Lineage: Eukaryota; Metazoa; Arthropoda; Malacostraca; Decapoda; Grapsidae
Description: tRNA-Asn
Source: RNAcentral